RNAcentral lists this ribosomal RNA (558 nucleotides) under Neogloboquadrina pachyderma. RNAcentral's name for it is "SSU rRNA". It matches the Rfam family "Eukaryotic small subunit ribosomal RNA", at positions 1164 to 1469 of the family's 1831-position model. The record is from RNAcentral. Lineage: Eukaryota; Foraminifera; Rotaliida; Globorotaliidae.
GCACCACAAGAACGCGUGGAGCAUGUGGCUUAAUUUGACUCAACGCGGGAAAUCUUACCGGGUCCGGACACACUGAGGAUUGACAGGCAAUAUCUUGGCUGUUUAAUAACCGUUUAUUAAUAAUAAACGGUUCAUUAAACAGAUCGAGUGUUAAAUAUGCUAGUCCUUUCAUGAUUAUGUGAUAGGUGGUGCAUGGCCGUUCUUAGUUCGUGGAGUGAUCUGUCUGCUUAAUUGCGUUUCACUAAGGGCCCAUAAAUUCAAGGUAUGUUAGCAAUCGUCGCUCUAUGGACCCCUUAUUUCAGUUUAUUAAUAAACUGUUAUAAGCGCGCGUCUUGUUUAAAGAGUUUAAGACACUGCGCAUGCUGUUGGGCUCUGAAAGCAACGAACGUGACCGCAACGUCUUGUUGCCUUAAUCAAGUCGGCUGUUUAAUAAUCUGUUUAAUUAAACAGACAGACAGCAGUCAUUAUAUGGCUUAUCCGAGGCUAUUUAAAACUAGACGAACCGCUGUUUCUUUUCUUAAACCAGAGGAAGGUUGCGGCAAUAACAGGUCUGUGAUG